RNAcentral lists this ribosomal RNA (525 nucleotides) under uncultured Bacteroidota bacterium. RNAcentral's name for it is "uncultured Bacteroidetes bacterium partial 16S ribosomal RNA". The record is from RNAcentral. Lineage: Bacteria; Pseudomonadati; Bacteroidota.
UUGGGAGCGCUCCCAUAUGGUCGACCUGCAGGCGGCCGCGAAUUCACUAGUGAUUCGUAUUACCGCGGGUGCUGGCACGGAGUUAGCCGGUGCUUAUUCAUAUAGUACCGUCAACUUACCUCGCAAGGUCUAUUUCUUCCUAUAUAAAAGCAGUUUACAACGCAUAACGCCUUCAUCCUGCACGCGGCAUGGCUGGGUCAGAGUUGCCUCCAUUGCCCAAUAUUCCCUACUGCUGCCUCCCGUAGGAGUCUGGCCCGUAUCUCAGUGCCAGUGUGGGGGAUUAACCUCUCAGUUCCCCUACCAAUCAUCGGCUUGGUGAGCCGUUACCUCGCCAACUAACUAAUUGGACGCAUGACCAGCUUAUAGCGAUAAAUCUUUAAUAUGUUAACGAUGCCAUCAACAUAUACCAUCGGGUAUUAAUCUCCGUUUCCAAAGGCUAUCCCCGUCUAUAAGGUAGGUUUCAUACGUGUUACGCACCCGCGCGCCACUAUUGUAUCACUACAACCGUUCGACUUGCAUGUAUUA